Alosa sapidissima (American shad) is the source of this 728-nucleotide long non-coding RNA. RefSeq lists it as uncharacterized. NCBI's taxonomy places the organism in Eukaryota, Metazoa, Chordata, Actinopteri, Clupeiformes, Clupeidae. The transcript is spliced from 3 exons. The record is from RefSeq and is a predicted model, not a curated record.
GGGCGACGGUGAAAGUACGUAUUUUAUUUUAGAUAAGCAUGACAUUUUAAUAAAAAAAAAAAUAAUUUCGAUACUUAACAUUCUGAGUGUUUAAUCAUGUGUUCUGUCUUUCAUCACCACAAUUCCAAUUCAUUACUGUUAUUUUUGACAAAACUGCCAUAUUUUCUGUUGAACUAUAGGUGAAACUUUUCCCCUGAGAGAUCAGAGUACUUCAGCAGACUCACUGAGAAUAGUGAUAGUUGAUAAGACUGGAGCAGGGAAAAGUGCUACAGGAAACAUCAUCCUUGGGGAAGAAAAUGCCUUUAAAGAGGAUCCAUCCUUUGAUUCUGUGACCAAGAACUGUGUCAAAAUAAAUGGUUAGGAGUGAGAUUCACACAAGAAGAAGCAAAGGCAGUGGAAUGGAUCCAGCGUAAUUUUGGUGAAGAUGCCUCUUCAUAUAGGCCUACAAUCAUACUGUUUACUCAUGUUGAUGACUUGGGAGGGAGACAAAUGGAGGACCACUUGGGAACAUGUAGCAAAAUCAAAGGAGUUUUUGAGAGUUGUGCUGGCAGAUAUCAUUCUUUCAACAAUAAAGAACAUGAUAACACCCGAGUCAAAGUCUUACCGCAAAAAAUUGAUGCCAUGCUAGCUGAGAGUUCACAACCAUACUACACCAAUGAGAUGUACAGGAAAGCUCAGGUAGUGGAGCAGAAGAGAAGAAAGGAAGAGAGGAAAAGGGAACUGGAAGA